RNAcentral lists this ribosomal RNA (440 nucleotides) under uncultured bacterium. RNAcentral describes it as "partial 16S ribosomal RNA". It matches the Rfam family "Bacterial small subunit ribosomal RNA", at positions 338 to 795 of the family's 1533-position model. The record is from RNAcentral.
CCUACGGGAGGCAGCAGUGGGGGAUAUUGCACAAUGGGGGGAACUCUGAUGCAGCGACGCCGCGUGGGUGAAGAAGCGCCUCGGCGCGUAAAGCCCUGUCAGCAGGGAAGAAAAUGACGGUACCUGAAGAAGAAGCCCUGGCUAAAUACGUGCCAGCAGCCGUGGGAAUACGUAGGGGGCAAGCGUUAGCCGGAUUUACUGGGUGUAAAGGGGGCGCAGACGGGGUUGCAGGCCAGGAGUGAAAGGCCGGGGCCCAACCCCGGGACUGCUCUUGGAACUGUGUGGCUGGAGUGCAGGAGGGGCAGGCGGAAUUCCUGGUGUAGCGGUGAAAUGCGUAGAUAUCAGGAGGAACACCGGUGGCGAAGGCGGCCUGCUGGACUGCAACUGACGUUGAGGCCCGAAAGCGUGGGGAGCAAACAGGAUUAGAUACCCCGGUAGUC